RNA transcript from Gossypium raimondii (Peruvian cotton), 1605 nucleotides. RefSeq lists it as uncharacterized. The transcript is spliced from 6 exons. Lineage: Eukaryota; Viridiplantae; Streptophyta; Magnoliopsida; Malvales; Malvaceae. The record is from RefSeq and is a predicted model, not a curated record.
UGGGAAGAAGAGGAAUAUAGUACAACCCAAUUUGAUGGUUCCACCACCAAACAUUAAUUUGGUUGGUUGUAAUGUCUACGGUGGCCUGCAUUGAAUCCAUUCCUAUUCUGGGAAGAGGCUGCAUAGCCAUUCCUUUCCCUCACCGCUGAAUAGGCAUUGAAUAGGAUUUUUUUUUUCCUUUUUAAUUUUUGCCCUCACCUUUACCCUUCUCCUUCAACCCGAUAGCCCUUCUCACCAGCUAUAAUCCCUCAUUCUUUCUUCUUUUUCUUUUACUCACUCGAUACAUGAAGAGAGAAAAAGAAAAAUAGGGAAUUUGUUGAUAAAAUGAUGAGAAAUAUUUUUAUGGAAGGGAAGGGAGGUUUGAAAUGGGUAGUAUUAUUGGAUUUUCUUUCGAUAUCGCCAACCACUGCUAUUCGAUACCAUUGAAACGUCACUGCUUUCAGUUGGGAUCCAAGUUUGUUGUUGUUGAUAUCUAGUCAAUACAAUCAUGCUCGGCAACAGUAGAGUUCGCUUCUCCUUAUGUGCACUUCUUCAAUCGCACUUCAUGACCAUGAUCCUUUGUUCUCAAUUUUCUCUUGGGUCUCGCUCGCAGAUCCACCACCACAACCAAAAUUGAUUUCCUAGCUUCUGUUUCUCUUCUCAAUGGAUUCCAUUUCUCGCCUCGCUGUCGUCAUCGACAAUGGCACUGGAAGGCUGGAAAGAACGAGCAUCACUUGUGGAAGAAAAGAGAUUCAGCUGGCUCUGGACAAACGGCAUUCAAUUUUGAUAGAAUUGGUUAUUGUUCCUUCUACAACCAUGGAAGACUUUUGCUACUCAUCAAUAACUCCAUUUGCAGCUUCAACCAACCUUGCUUUAUUCUGCGAGUGGCUACUUGAACCAAACUUACUUUAUUCUAGAUACAAUAUGCAAAGACAAAGUCAAAUUGUAUCGCCAAAAAUGAUGGAAGCUUUUUUCCCAGAGGAAAGAAGAAGAAGCAAGAAGAAAAAGGUGACAAAGUGAAUGUUGAGCAAAGGACAAUGAGCUAUGAUGGGAACAUAAGACACCCUUCUACUUGAUUCUUUUGCAAAACCUCAAGACUCUAUUGCAAGAACUGACAGUGGAUCACAGGCAUUUAAUGUUCCACAAUUGGGAUCCAAAACUGUUUCCAGAUGUUUAAAUUCAUCACUGAAGCUUCUAAUGAGCAGUUGUUCUUUUUUACUCUUUAACUGUUUUCACAAUGACAUGCGUUUGAGUGUUUGAGGUUGGAGCAAUGAAUGAUUGGAGCAACAGAGAUAAAGAUGGGGUUUGACCUUUAGGAAGUGAGAGCCAGGAGACUAAGAAUAGGGUUUUUAUUUUCUAAUGAACCUUUUGUUUUUUUGUUUGUGAUCUAUUAUUUUGGAAAAUCCUUCAUUUGUUAGAAGAAAUGAAGAGAAGUCAAAUCUUGGGUCUUUAGGGGUUAUAUCAUUUGGUAUAAUUUGUUUAAUCAUUUCCUUUAAAACAAUCAUUAAUGCAAAGCUGUCUCAUUAACAUCACAUUUUCCAAUUCUAUAAUGUAGACAAACAAACAUUUUUGUUUCUUUUAGUUUUAGCUGAAAAAGAAAAAUAAAAAGAUGCACUUUUUCUUUUC